Molecule: long non-coding RNA, 477 nt
Filed under: Anser brachyrhynchus (Pink-footed goose)
Lineage: Eukaryota; Metazoa; Chordata; Aves; Anseriformes; Anatidae
Description: lncRNA (ENSABRG00000018464.1)
Source: RNAcentral
AUUUUUCUGUGUGCUGUCCUGGGAAAAGAGAGGACCUCUGGGAGCUGUCACCCCAUGGGAGGCUGGCACAAUAUCUACCUGCUUUUCUGAUCAAACAUUCCCUGAAGUGUGGUAGAAGACAGGAAGAAUGACACUUGCUAAUUUGAAUUUCAGAACACACCUAAACCAUAUUCUGAUCUCCAGAUAUCAGAUUGAGACACAGUCUGGUCAACCAAAAUUUAGAAGUCUGAAUUCCUCAUAGAGUCAGUGAAAAGGGGUAAGCACCUCUGAAGGGUGACUUGUGCAAACUGUCAAGUGGGAGAUUAUGAGUAUGUACCAUUGUGUUUGCCUGCAGCCUAAAUAUAUCUGAUGAACAGUACUUCUAUCAGUUUCAUUGUAUGUUUACUAUUAGCAAUGCCAACUGGCAUAUUUUACGUAUGUGGCUUAAAGCAAAAAAUUUAAAGAAUUACCAGGAUUACUGGCAUGGAUACUUCACAG